UCUGAACGCGUCUUCAUCAAAUGCUUCCAAAAUUUGAGGCCAUUUCUUGAGCAAUACAGAUUCGAACUUCGUGACAGCAUUGCGUGAGGGCGCAUCCGAUAGAGGCCGCUUGUCGCGGAUAGCGCAUAUCAAGGCUAACACGGAUUUGAGCGUGCUGCUGUCAGCUUCUUCUCCUUCAGGCAAGGUAAGCUUAGAAAGUAAAGACGCCAGGGCCUUUCGAGAGUCAUCUGCAUUGCGUUUUCGUCAUCAGUGUUCAAUAACUAGCAUACCAGGGCACAUACGUGAGGUCUCGAUCAAUAUUAAUUUGAGCACUUCAACCGAUAGAUCGAGGUGUACUGAAGUAUCAAUGGUUGAUCCUUCUCGCCCGCUGCGAACAUGUCAGUCUUCGCGAGCCUCGUCAAUAGAAGCCAAUACCCACAUUGCCUUAAAUGGGUCGAUCCAAUCUACCAUCAUCAAUCCUAUUUGAGACAAGGGUAGCAUCUCGUCAUCCUCGGCCUCUUCCGACAUUUGUGAGAGCAUCAUAUAUGUGUCGUAGAAAAUCUUUGGAUGGAUCAGUUGGUACCGUAAAGGAAUCACUGAUCACACUCACGGAAAGCAUGCGACGCUGAUUAUCGGCUGCGGUAUAACAAUAUACCGGCAAAAAGUAAGUCAGACAUUGUCGCAAAGGCUGGUUAUCAGCAGUUUCAGGUGAAAAAUAGAGCAACACGAGGGACUGCAGUACCUAUUGACACGUUGAACAAAAGCGAUUUCAAAAAGAUACAAAGGCUACUCACAACUUCGUCAGAGAUCAUACCAGCCAACAUGAGCUUCGCAACUCCCUCGCAAGCAACCGCCUGUACUUCCGCAAUGUCUAAGCUUAGAGUAUGUCGGAUUAAUUCGACAACCUUGUCAGGUUGCUUGCAUUUGAAACUAGUGUGUCGAUGUCGUGCGCCAAAAACAAGUCAAAAAUAAUUUGACAAACUUUGACUUUAAGAACGUCGUCUGCGGAAUUUAGCUGUUGAAUGAAGAGACCAAAAGAAUUGGAGGCCAUUUUCUAAUGUCACAUUAGCUUAGCUAC
This 1057-nucleotide small RNA is filed under the name Cryptococcus neoformans H99. RNAcentral's name for it is "Cryptococcus neoformans var. grubii H99 hypothetical RNA". Lineage: Eukaryota; Fungi; Basidiomycota; Tremellomycetes; Tremellales; Cryptococcaceae. The record is from RNAcentral.